AAGUCUAUACUUUCGGGGAUCAUUUCUAUAAUGUUUGACUUUUGAUUUGAAAAUGUUGCGUCAUGAUGAAGAGUACCCAUACUUAAUUCUGAGUGCGAAUUGAAUGGAGUGUAAUUAGUAAUCUGCUCUUUAUCAUUGAUGGCUGUUUCUUCUGUGUUUCACAGUUAGGAGGAAGGAAGUAUGGACAGU
Pygocentrus nattereri (red-bellied piranha) is the source of this 189-nucleotide small nucleolar RNA. Its record names the gene U3. It matches the Rfam family "Small nucleolar RNA U3". Rfam says of the family: Small nucleolar RNAs (snoRNAs) are involved in the processing and modification of rRNA in the nucleolus. The record is from Ensembl. Lineage: Eukaryota; Metazoa; Chordata; Actinopteri; Characiformes; Serrasalmidae.